This 387-nucleotide ribosomal RNA is filed under the name uncultured bacterium. RNAcentral's name for it is "bacterial SSU rRNA". It matches the Rfam family "Bacterial small subunit ribosomal RNA", at positions 29 to 421 of the family's 1533-position model. The record is from RNAcentral.
AUUGAACGCUGGCGGCAUGCCUAACACAUGCAAGUCGAACGGGGGUAGCGAUACCCUAGUGGCGGACGGGUGAGGAACGCGUAGGAAUUGGCCCACGAGUGGGGGACAACCUGGGGAAACCCAGGCUAAUACCGCAUACGCUCGCGAGAGGAAAGCGGGGGAUCUACGGACCUCGCGCUGGUGGACAAGCCUACGUCCGAUUAGCUAGUUGGCAGGGUAAAAGCCUACCAAGGCGACGAUCGGUAGCUGGUCUGAGAGGAUGAUCAGCCACACUGGGACUGAGACACGGCCCAGACUCCUACGGGAGGCAGCAGUGGGGGAAUAUUGGACAAUGGGCGCAAGCCUGAUCCAGCCAUACCGCGUGUGUGAAGAAGGCCUUCACCCACG